Pelobates cultripes (western spadefoot toad) is the source of this 104-nucleotide non-coding RNA. Lineage: Eukaryota; Metazoa; Chordata; Amphibia; Anura; Pelobatidae. The record is from the annotation of a GenBank genome assembly.
AUGUGUGUGUGUGUGUGUGUGUAUGUAUCUAUAUAUAUAUAUAUAUAGAUACAUUGUGCCACUGAUAUAUAUAUAUAUAUAGAUACAUACACACACACACACUG